Molecule: long non-coding RNA, 888 nt
Filed under: Rhinopithecus bieti (black snub-nosed monkey)
Lineage: Eukaryota; Metazoa; Chordata; Mammalia; Primates; Cercopithecidae
Description: lncRNA (ENSRBIG00000045094.1)
Source: RNAcentral
GCUGGGUCCAUGUGUCAAACAUAGAGUGAGUUAGAGGAAGAAGGAUAUGAUGAAAGAUUACAAGGUCAUGUUGGGAAAAAUUAUCUCCAGGCUGAGAGGGGUUGGCACAAACUGAAGUUUGAAAUGACACAGACAAUCUCUGGUUUAUCCACUGCCAACAGCAAAUAAAUAAAGGAGAAGACAUAAAAUGGAGACCAGCUGGUGGACAUGUUUUAGAUUUGCAGAGCAUCAGAGCUGUCUGGGAUGAGAAAACAGAAUGGACUGUAGAGGUUCUGCACCAGCAGACCAAGCACAGACUUCCAGGAGGCUCUAGCCCAAGUGGACAAGACAAACAGGACAGAGGAGCAAAGGACUAGAUAAGCAAAAGCAAGGACUGACUUUCCGGAGAAUCUGCCUAACUUCCACUUCACAUUUAAGAUGCCAAAAUAGUUCCUCAACAAAAUUCUUGCAAGGCUGCUACUGCUUUAUGGAAAGGUUCAGAACCAUACCUGGAAGGUUAUCCAAAGACUCCAAUGAGCAUAUCUUCUCCAGACAGCAUUUUGCACUUGCAUAUGAGCUGCAGCCUUUCCAAAAGUUGGGGAAAUCCUGCAAAGAAGGAACAUGGCAUCUGAUUCUUGGAAUAACAUUCUCUCUACACUCUUCCAGCUGCUGUGGAUACAUAUAAUGACUGAUUUUAUUUAAUAAGAAAGCUCAAAAUGUUUCCCAAUUCAAAACAUAACCCUGCAUGCUGUUCCCUCUAGUCUAACCAGAAAUCCCAUUCUCCUCCUCCUGUAACUCAAUAAACCAAAUCUAACUGGAGAAUAAUUAUAAAAUACACUGAUGUGCAAUUUGUUUCACUUGCUCAAUAAUUAAUUAAUACACUACUUACGGUUCAGAAGAGCUCUUAAG